AGAAGUCGGGGAGACAGUCGCGUGUCUCCCGAACAUCAGAUCGGGAGGUUCGAGGAAAGUCCGAGCUCCGCAGGGCAGGGUGCUGGUUAACGGCCAGGGGGAGUGAUCCCACGGAAAGUGCCACAGAAAAUAUACCGCCUCGCCUCCGGAUCAUCCGGAAUCGGGGUAAGGGUGAAAUGGUGAGGUAAGAGCUCACCGCGCCUCUGGUGACAGGGGUGGCAGGGUAAACCCCACCUGGAGCAAGACCAAAUAGGGGAGGAUGAGGCGGCCCGCCUCGCCAGGACUCCCGGGUAGGUCGCUAGAGGCCGUCGGUAACGGCGGUCCGAGAUACAUGACUGUCGCCGUCCCCGGUUUCCUUCGGGAGCCUCCGACGGUAACAGGACUCGGCUUACGACCGGCUUCUCACG
RNAcentral lists this RNase P RNA (407 nucleotides) under Gemmatimonadales bacterium. RNAcentral describes it as "RNase P RNA component class A". It matches the Rfam family "Bacterial RNase P class A". Rfam says of the family: Ribonuclease P (RNase P) is a ubiquitous endoribonuclease, found in archaea, bacteria and eukarya as well as chloroplasts and mitochondria. Its best characterised activity is the generation of mature 5'-ends of tRNAs by cleaving the 5'-leader elements of precursor-tRNAs. Lineage: Bacteria; Pseudomonadati; Gemmatimonadota; Gemmatimonadia; Gemmatimonadales. The record is from RNAcentral.